UCAUUAGUUUUUUAAUUGAAGGCUUGUAUGAAGGGUUGGACAAAGAAUAAUCUGUUUCUAUUUUUGUUUUUGAAUUUAACUUUUAAGUGAAAAGGCUUAAAUACUUUUAAGGGACGAUAAGACCCUAUAAAUCUUUAUAUUAAAUUGUCUUUAGUUGAUUAAUAUUGUAGACUCAAAAGUAAGAUAAAAUAUAUUAUGUUGGGGUGACGAGAAUAUAAUAAAUACCUGUUCUAAGAUAGAAACAAAAAUUUUUGAAUAGCAGAAGAUCCUCUUUAUUGAGAUUAGGAGUUUAAGUUACUUUAGGGAUAACAGCGUUAUUUUUUUUGAGAGUUCUUAUCGAAAAAAAAGUUUGCGACCUCGAUGUUGAAUUAAAUUUUCUUUGUGGUGUAGAUGUCACAAGAGAGAGUCUGUUCGACUUUU
This 420-nucleotide ribosomal RNA is filed under the name Trapezionida parile. RNAcentral's name for it is "Munida parile partial large subunit ribosomal RNA". The stretch from base 82 to 420 matches the Rfam family "Bacterial large subunit ribosomal RNA", at positions 2048 to 2589 of the family's 2925-position model. The record is from RNAcentral. Lineage: Eukaryota; Metazoa; Arthropoda; Malacostraca; Decapoda; Munididae.